GGGCCCGCACAAGCGGAGGAACAUGUGGUUUAAUUCGAUGAUACGCGAGGAACCUUACCCGGGCUUGAAAUGCAGAAGAAUAAAGAGGAAACUUUUUAGCCAGCAAUGGCUUCUGUGUAGGUGCUGCAUGGUUGUCGUCAGCUCGUGCCGUGAGGUGUCGGCUUAAGUGCCAUAACGAGCGCAACCCUCAUCAUUAGUUACUAACAGGUCGAGCUGAGGACUCUAAUGAGACUGCCGGCGUAAGCUGCGAGGAAGGUGGGGAUGACGUCAAAUCAGCACGGCCCUUACGUCCGGGGCGACACACGUGUUACAAUGGGUGGUACAAAGGGCAGCUACUGGGCGACCAGGUGCUAAUCUCCAAAGCCCACUCCCAGUUCCGGAUCGGAGUCUGCAACUCGACUCCGUGAAGCUGGAUUCGCUAGUAAUCGCGCAUCAGCCAUGGCG
RNAcentral lists this ribosomal RNA (444 nucleotides) under uncultured Bacteroidota bacterium. RNAcentral's name for it is "bacterial SSU rRNA". It matches the Rfam family "Bacterial small subunit ribosomal RNA", at positions 917 to 1359 of the family's 1533-position model. The record is from RNAcentral. Lineage: Bacteria; Pseudomonadati; Bacteroidota.